Long non-coding RNA from Oncorhynchus tshawytscha (Chinook salmon), 1682 nucleotides. Lineage: Eukaryota; Metazoa; Chordata; Actinopteri; Salmoniformes; Salmonidae. The record is from Ensembl.
GAAGGAAGGUGAGAGCAGUGGUGCAUUGGCUACAGCCCACAUCCAGAGUCCAGCUGCAGCGGUUCCUGGGCUUCGCCAACUUUUAUUGGCGCAGUAUCCGGGGCUACAGCACCCUGGCUUCCCCCUCGUCUGCACUCACUUCUCCAUUGACAUGGUCUCAAGCUGCUGAUGGGGUGUUCCGGGAUAUCAAACACCCCUUCACCACAGCUCCCAUCUUGGUUCAUUCGGAUCUGUCCCACCAGUUUGUGGUGGAGGUCGAUGCUUCUGAUGUUGGGGUUGGGGCUGUCCUGUCCCAGCGGUCUGCCCUGGACCUCAAGUUGGAACCCUGCACCUUCUCCCACUGCCUCAAUGAUACGGAGAGGAACUACGAUGUGGGGAAUUGUGAGCUGCUUGCAGUGAAGAUAGCGUUGGAAGAGUGGAGGCACUGGCUGGAGGGGGCGUCACAUCCAUUCAUCGUGUGGACCGACCACAAGAACCUGGAAUAUCUCAGCACCGCCAAGCGUCUCAAUUCCAGGCAGGCUAGAUGGGCCUACUGUUCAACUUCUCCCUCUCUUACCGGCCGGGAUCCAAGAAUGUUAAGCCAGAUAUAGCCCUACGACUACUACCCCAGAACCGGAGACAAUCCUUCCCACCUUGUGCCUGGCAACGGCACUCAGCUGGGGAAUAGGGAAGCAGGUUCGGGAGGUGCAGCAUUCCCAGCCCAAACCCUGAGGGUCCAGAUAAGCAGAUGUUCGUGCCUGACGCGGUCCGCUCCGCGGUCCUAGAGUGGACCCACUGCUCCAGUCGGACCCUGGCUUUUGUGCGACACCGCUUUCGGUGGCCUCCCAUGGUCCCUGAUGUCUCCGUAUUUGUCGUCGCUUGCACAGUUUGCGCACAACACAAGACUCCUCGGCAAGCUCAGACUGGUCGCCUCCAACCUCUGCCUGUCCCUCACCGUCCCUGGUCUCACAUUUCCCUGGACUUUGUCACAGGUUUUCCCCCAUCUGAUGGCAAAACCGCCAUCCUAACUGUGGUGCAUCGCUUAACCAAAGCAGCCCACUUCAUUCCUCUCCCAAAGCUACUCCCAGCUUCUGGAGCAGCACGUCUUCCGGAUCCAUGGUCUGCCCGUGGACAUGGUCGCCGACCGGGGUCCUCAGUUCUCAUCCCGGUUCUGGAAGGCGUUCUGCAUCCUCAUUGGGUCAUCGGCCAGCCUGUCCUCCGGGUUCCACCCCCAGUCCAACGGCUAGUCACAGGGAGUCAACCAGGACCUCGAGACAACUCUGCGCCGCCUGGUCUCCGCCAACCCCGCCACCUGGAGCCAGCAGCCUGUGUGGGUGGAACACACCCGCAACACCCUUCCCUGCUCUGCCACUGGCCUAUCGCCAUUUGAGUGUUCCCUGGGGUAUCAACCUCUGCUCUUCCCCGAGCAGGAAGAGGUGGUCAGCAUAGCUUCUACCCAGAUGUUUGUCCGACGGUGUCGUUAUACCUGGAGGAGAGCCCGGUUGGCCCUCAAGACCCCCUCCAGGUAUCGACGACAAGCGGAUCGCCACCGGAACCCGGUAUUGUCUCGGGCAGAAGGUUUUGACCAUUCUGCCUGCCUUGAACCUGAGAUUGCCUGCCAUUUUAUACCUUAUCCCACCGUUCUGGAUUAUUGACCCCUGCCUGCCGUUUUGGACCCUUUACACCCUUCCUGGAAUACUGAC